AGUGAACGCUGGCGGUAGGCCUAACACAUGCAAGUCGAACGGCAGCACAGUAAGAGCUUGCUCUUACGGGUGGCGAGUGGCGGACGGGUGAGGAAUACAUCGGAAUCUACUUUUUCGUGGGGGAUAACGUAGGGAAACUUACGCUAAUACCGCAUACGACCUACGGGUGAAAGCAGGGGAUCUUCGGACCUUGCGCGAUUGAAUGAGCCGAUGUCGGAUUAGCUAGUUGGCGGGGUAAAGGCCCACCAAGGCGACGAUCCGUAGCUGGUCUGAGAGGAUGAUCGGCCACACUGGAACUGAGACACGGUCCAGACUCCUACGGGAGGCAGCAGUAGGGAAUCUUCCGCAAUGGGCGAAAGCCUGACGGAGCAACGCCGCGUGAGUGAUGAAGGUCUUCGGAUCGUAAAACUCUGUUAUUAGGGAAGAACAAAUGUGUAAGUAACUAUGCACGUCUUGACGGUACCUAAUCAGAAAGCCACGGCUAACUACGUG
This 492-nucleotide ribosomal RNA is filed under the name uncultured bacterium. RNAcentral's name for it is "partial 16S ribosomal RNA". It matches the Rfam family "Bacterial small subunit ribosomal RNA", at positions 29 to 507 of the family's 1533-position model. The record is from RNAcentral.